RNAcentral lists this small nucleolar RNA (94 nucleotides) under Nelumbo nucifera (sacred lotus). RNAcentral's name for it is "Small nucleolar RNA snoR31". It matches the Rfam family "Small nucleolar RNA snoR31". Lineage: Eukaryota; Viridiplantae; Streptophyta; Magnoliopsida; Proteales; Nelumbonaceae. The record is from Rfam by way of RNAcentral.
UGGAUGAGGAUGAAGCAUUAGUAAUAAAUCCAACACUUGAUCUGAGAGAGAUUUAUCUCCUGGUGAUGUGUCAUCGUUUUGCUUCUGAAUCCUA